CGUGCACACGUGUGUCCAUGCAUGAGGCGGUGUGUGCAGCCCUGGGCGUAACACGUGUGCACCCUUUGCUCUCUGGCGUGUGCUGCACACCGUGCGGACCAGCGCCGGUGUCCCCGGCGUCUCUGAGGACGCGUGACUCGUGUGUCCCUGUGUGCGUCCGUCUUCGCACCCCGCACCCAUCCCGCUGGGGCGGUUGGUUCCGCAGGAAGCUGUUGGGGUGCGGAUGGAGGUGCUGCGCCUCCCCGCUGCACCCCACUCCUCCUCCCGGAGACACGGGCAGGCCCCCCCCCGGGGCGAGGGUGGACGGGGACCCUGUCUUCUGCGCUCUCCUCGGACCCCUGUGCACACAGCUGGCGCGGAGAGGCGGUUGAGGAAGAGGAAGUAGAGGGCAGAGCUGGGUCACGCCGUGGCUACACCAGGCUGCGGCAGCCGGUGCUGCCUUGGGCUCCCCAGGAGCCCUGGCCGAGGGUCAUGGGGGCCACAGAAGCUGGCAGCCCGGCCGGAGACCCAGGCCACCGUGGGCCAGGAGCUGUGUGGUUCUGAGCCCAAGUCAUGUGUCCAGCCCUUUGAUUCUGGAGCUGCAGCCUUGGCCACCAAGAGUAGCCGUGAGCCCUGGAGACCCGAGGACCCAGACGUUUUCUCCAUCAUGCAGGAUGAGCAGGAAGAUGAUUUUGCAGAACAGCUCAGCAAGAGCGCGGAGGACCUCAGCCUGGAUUGGGGGGCCCUGCAGGACAGCGAGUAUCUCCAGGACCUGGGCCUGGCGGCCUCUUCCCCCUGCCUGCCCGGUGGGGCCGCGGACAGCAGCUCCCCGAAGACAGAAACUGAGAGAGACGCGCCCUUCUCCAGCUCGGAUGGGGCCCAGACUCUGGUGCAGAGGCGCAGCUGGGAGCGGUCGCGGAGCUGCUCCGAGGACUGGCGGAGGUCUGGGCGGGGACGGGCCGGGGCGGGGCGGGACCCCCGCGCGGACCCAGGAGGCGCCUUAGACAGCGGAGUCCGGAGGACAGAGCCAGCUUCCGGGAAGCGCUUCGGGCUUGCACGACGGUUGUCCAGCUCCAGGGCCACCAGGAGGGCUACCUCAAGCAUGUGUUUGCACACUCACGUGGUCGCACAAACACGCGUGUUCACACACUAG
This 1132-nucleotide long non-coding RNA is filed under the name Fukomys damarensis (Damara mole-rat). RNAcentral's name for it is "lncRNA (ENSFDAG00000030377.1)". The record is from RNAcentral. Lineage: Eukaryota; Metazoa; Chordata; Mammalia; Rodentia; Bathyergidae.